RNAcentral lists this ribosomal RNA (548 nucleotides) under uncultured Glomus. RNAcentral describes it as "SSU rRNA". It matches the Rfam family "Eukaryotic small subunit ribosomal RNA", at positions 548 to 1098 of the family's 1831-position model. Lineage: Eukaryota; Fungi; Glomeromycota; Glomeromycetes; Glomerales; Glomeraceae. The record is from RNAcentral.
UUGGAGGGCAAGUCUGGUGCCAGCAGCCGCGGUAAUUCCAGCUCCAAUAGCGUAUAUUAAAGUUGUUGCAGUUAAAAAGCUCGUAGUUGGAUUUCGGGAUCAAUACGUCGGUCGUGCUUCGGUACGUACUGGUGUCAUUGAUUUCUCCCUUCUGACGAACCAUGAUGUCAUUAACUUGGUGUCAUGGGAAAUCAGGACUGUUACUUUGAAAAAAUUAGAGUGUUUAAAGCAGGCUCACGCUUGAAUACAUUAGCAUGGAAUAAUGAAAUAGGACGUUCGAUCCUAUUUUGUUGGUUUCUAGGAUCAACGUAAUGAUUAAUAGGGAUAGUUGGGGGCAUUAGUAUUCAAUUGUCAGAGGUGAAAUUCUUGGAUUUAUUGAAGACUAACUACUGCGAAAGCAUUUGCCAAGGAUGUUUUCAUUAAUCAAGAACGAAAGUUAGGGGAUCGAAGACGAUCAGAUACCGUCGUAGUCUUAACCAUAAACUAUGCCGACUAGGGAUCGGAUGAUGUUAAUUAUUUAAUGACUCAUUCGGCGCCUUACGGGAAAC